UGUUUUGCGCAGUGGCAGUAUUGUAGCCAAUGAGGUUAAUCCGAGGCGCAAUUAUUGCUAAUUGAUUUGUUAUAAUGUUCCUACUUCUUCUGAACUGGAAUUACAGUACAGAAAGAAGGCAGUGGAGAUGUUGCCCUAGUCACUGCAUGUCAGAUGUGAACGUAAGAACA
Molecule: small nuclear RNA, 170 nt
Filed under: Anolis carolinensis (green anole)
Lineage: Eukaryota; Metazoa; Chordata; Lepidosauria; Squamata; Anolidae
Description: U4 spliceosomal RNA (ENSACAG00000020732.2)
Rfam family: U4 spliceosomal RNA (bases 1-118)
About the family: U4 small nuclear RNA (U4 snRNA) is a component of the major U2-dependent spliceosome. The structure of U4 snRNA from yeast and human has been reported.
Source: RNAcentral